AUGAAUAUCCUUGGCUGGAACUGCCGAGGGGCGGGGAACCCUCGGACAGUUCGUGAUCUUGUGAGCUUGGUGCAGGCUCAGUCCCCUAGUAUCGUCUUCCUUUGUGAAACUAGGCAGCCAAAAAAUAAAAUGAAGAGACUGCGUGCUCGUUUAGGUUUAAGAAGUUUUGAUGCUUUCGAUUGUAAUGGUCUUAGUGGUGGUCUUGCCUUGUAUUGGCAUGAGUCAGUGAGUCUUGAUGUAAAAGAAAUAAAUGAACGAUACAUUGAUGCGUAUGUGACUGGUGUGGCGGGUGAGCCACCCUGGCGGCUUACCUACGUCUAUGGUGAGCCUCGGACGGAGGAUCGUUGUCGUAUGUGGACAAUGCUUCGUAAUCUCCACCAACAGGCCAGCAUGCCGUGGGUCGUGGUGGGAGAUUUUAACGAAGCGAUGUGGAGUUUUGAGCACUUCUCCGACACACCACGUUCCGCAGGUUAG
RNAcentral lists this ribosomal RNA (474 nucleotides) under Triticum aestivum (bread wheat). RNAcentral describes it as "partial small subunit ribosomal RNA". Lineage: Eukaryota; Viridiplantae; Streptophyta; Magnoliopsida; Poales; Poaceae. The record is from RNAcentral.